UGGGGAAUAUUGCACAAUGGGGGAAACCCUGAUGCAGCAACGCCGCGUGAAGGAAGACGGUUUUCGGAUUGUAAAACUUCUGUUCUUAGUGAAGAAUAAUGACGGUAGCUAAGGAGCAAGCCACGGCUAACUACGUGCC
Molecule: ribosomal RNA, 139 nt
Filed under: uncultured bacterium
Lineage: Bacteria
Description: partial 16S ribosomal RNA
Rfam family: Bacterial small subunit ribosomal RNA
Source: RNAcentral